AUUCCUAAAUCAUCUUCUGGAAACAUCCAAAUUUGGUUGUAGGUCCUAACAAGGAUAUUGUAACAGUUUCAGGUGAAGUUGGAGUAAAAUAUGGCAGCUUAAGUGGAAAUUCUGGAGUUAGAUGAUCCUGUUUCAAAGAGAGUUUCUUAGUAGUGGGAACUGGCCCUAUCUGGACAGCAUCUUCAGUCUGAGGGGAAAAGAGCUCUCCAGAAACAAGAACUGAAGACAGAAACCUGCCUCUUCCUUUGAUUACCUCAUCUACACCUGAAGCAGAAAGGGAAGGCUCUUUGUGGUCUCUCAAAUGCAGGAAAAGAAGGAAAGAGGCUAUGUUUAGAGACCUUCUGGCAGACUCGGUAGAAAAGCCAG
Molecule: long non-coding RNA, 366 nt
Filed under: Anser brachyrhynchus (Pink-footed goose)
Lineage: Eukaryota; Metazoa; Chordata; Aves; Anseriformes; Anatidae
Description: lncRNA (ENSABRG00000011322.1)
Source: RNAcentral